RNAcentral lists this ribosomal RNA (255 nucleotides) under Staphylococcus delphini. RNAcentral describes it as "partial 23S ribosomal RNA". It matches the Rfam family "Bacterial large subunit ribosomal RNA", at positions 1630 to 1884 of the family's 2925-position model. Lineage: Bacteria; Bacillati; Bacillota; Bacilli; Caryophanales; Staphylococcaceae. The record is from RNAcentral.
GAAUAACGGUGCCCGUACCGCAAACCGACACAGGUAGUCAAGAUGAGAAUUCUAAGGUGAGCGAGCGAACUCUCGUUAAGGAACUCGGCAAAAUGACCCCGUAACUUCGGGAGAAGGGGUGCUCUUUAGGGUUCACGCUCUGAAGAGCCGCAGUGAAUAGGCCCAAGCGACUGUUUAUCAAAAACACAGGUCUCUGCUAAACCGUAAGGUGACGUAUAGGGGCUGACGCCUGCCCGGUGCUGGAAGGUUAAGAGG